Molecule: ribosomal RNA, 235 nt
Filed under: uncultured bacterium
Lineage: Bacteria
Description: partial 16S ribosomal RNA
Rfam family: Bacterial small subunit ribosomal RNA
Source: RNAcentral
UGAGCAAUCUGCCCUUCUCGUCGGAAUAAGCGUUGGAAACGACGUCUAAUGCCGAAUACGACCUCCUUUCGCAUGAUCGGAGGUGGAAAGCUCCGGCGGAGAAGGAUGAGCUCGCGGCCUAUCAGCUAGUUGGUGUGGGUAAUGGCCCACCAAGGCGACGACGGGUAGCCGGCCUGAGAGGGUGACCGGCCACACUGGGACUGAGACACGGCCCAGACCUCCGUACGGGAGGCAG